This 648-nucleotide long non-coding RNA is filed under the name Homo sapiens (human). Its description in RNAcentral is "HSALNT0075023". The record is from RNAcentral. Lineage: Eukaryota; Metazoa; Chordata; Mammalia; Primates; Hominidae.
CACAGCCACCCUUCCCGCUGUUUUCUCUUCCUGGAACAGAUGUUUCGCGAAGAUUGCCUUUGUGACAAGAAUGGAUGUUUAGAUGCUCAUAAGCAUAAAAAUCUAACACAAGAACAAGGAGAAACAUUCUCCCAUGAGAGUUAAGUUUGUUCAUCUCAAGUAAUUUUGAAACUGAAGUUGCAUGUGAGACAGUGAAUUUAAUAAACUUUUAUACAUAAUAGAAAUAAUGUUACUUAUGUGGCCAUUUUUAAUGGGGCAGAAUGUCUCCCUGAAGAAAUAAAGCUAUUUAAAACUUUACAGGGAAAAUGACAAGGCCUUUUUAUAUAAAAAGUAGGUUCAGAUUUCACUUGGAUAUUUAGCAGCAGAAAGAAAGGUGAUGUUACUAUAAACUGAAUUAGCAGUAUACAAAGCUCCUUACGUUCCACAGACCUGUAGUUUGCCUAUUAGAGCUACUAAUGAUCUUGAUGGAUGUUACAACUGUUAAUAUUCUUACCUUUUAUUUCCUACCUCCUUUUGUAGCGCUGUAAUAAAUCCUUACAACUGAGGCUCAUAGGCAGAAGGGACUUGCUGUAUGUCAGAUGAGACUUUGGAUAUGGACUUUUGACUUAAUGAUGGAAUGAGUUAGGACUCUGGGGAACUGCUGGAAAG